AAAGCCAUUUUGACCUUUAGGCACAAUUAUCAUCAGAAUCAAAUUUGAAGAGGAGCAUCCCCACAAACCAAUGACUUACCCUGCGCUGCGUAGCUCACAUUGUCGCUGCUGCAUAAAGGGCUCCAGAGCCACAGCUAAAAUAGUGAUUACCGCUCCGAGGGAGGCAAGAUGGCUAGGGGGAAACUGUUAGCCAUUUCCACAUCUAGCUUGCUGCUGAAAAACCGUGCUCCAAAUAAUCACUGACCCUCCGCGAAGAUAAAAGAGCAUAUGCAGAGACCCUAGGGGUCCUCGGCUGGCAUCAUCGAAAAUUUGCAAGUCUUGCAGGCGUCUCAUAUCUUUCAUCCAUAGCCAUUUUAGCUGACUUAUGCAGGCUGCAAUAACGACCAAAAUCGACACCCUUAUGGCAUUGGCGAGAACGGAAAUGAUAGCGUUGAACUUUUAUGCACAUUAGUAUUUUAAAGAGCGAGUAUUCAGUGUUUGAGUAGUAUACUUACUGUAAUAUAUUUGGGCAAUUCGGGCACAUUUUUCUCUGAAUAGACAACGAGCACGGCUAUCGUCGCCGCAAGAGCCAGCAGGCUUAAAGCACAGGCCCCGAUUUCCCAGAGCCACCAAUCGAGGACGAGCCUGGAGUACCAAUUCCGCCUC
RNAcentral lists this small RNA (645 nucleotides) under Histoplasma capsulatum. RNAcentral describes it as "hypothetical RNA". The record is from RNAcentral. Lineage: Eukaryota; Fungi; Ascomycota; Eurotiomycetes; Onygenales; Ajellomycetaceae. RNAcentral also lists the same sequence under 1 other name.